Molecule: ribosomal RNA, 492 nt
Filed under: uncultured bacterium
Lineage: Bacteria
Description: partial 16S ribosomal RNA
Rfam family: Bacterial small subunit ribosomal RNA
Source: RNAcentral
AGUGAACGCUGGCGGUAGGCCUAACACAUGCAAGUCGAACGGCAGCACAGUAAGAGCUUGCUCUUACGGGUGGCGAGUGGCGGACGGGUGAGGAAUACAUCGGAAUCUACUUUUUCGUGGGGGAUAACGUAGGGAAACUUACGCUAAUACAGCAUAUGACCUACGGGUGAAAGCAGGGGAUCUUCGGACCUUGCGCGAUUGAAUGAGCCGAUGUCGGAUUAGCUAGUUGGCAGGGUAAAGGCCCACCAAGGCGACGAUCCGUAGCUGGUCUGAGAGGAUGAUCGGCCACACUGGAACUGAGACACGGUCCAGACUCCUACGGGAGGCAGCAGUGGGGAAUAUUGGACAAUGGGCGCAAGCCUGAUCCAGCCAUACCGCGUGGGUGAUGAAGGCCUUCGGGUUGUAAAGCCCUUUUAUUGGGAAAGAAAAGCAGCAGGUUAAUACCCCGCUGUUCUGACGGUACCCAAAGAAUAAGCACCGGCUAACUUCGUG